This 92-nucleotide ribosomal RNA is filed under the name Pseudomonas aeruginosa. Lineage: Bacteria; Pseudomonadati; Pseudomonadota; Gammaproteobacteria; Pseudomonadales; Pseudomonadaceae. The record is from RNAcentral.
CUUGACGAUCAUAGAGCGUUGGAACCACCUGAUCCCUUCCCGAACUCAGUAGUGAAACGACGCAUCGCCGAUGGUAGUGUGGGGUCUCCCCA